AAGGACUGGUGGAGUGCUUAGAAGUGAGAAUGCCGGUAUGAGUAGCGAAAGACGGGUGAGAAUCCCGUCCACCGAAUGCCUAAGGUUUCCUGAGGAAGGCUCGUCCGCUCAGGGUUAGUCAGGACCUAAGCCGAGGCCGACAGGCGUAGGCGAUGGACAACAGGUUGAUAUUCCUGUACCACCUCUUUAUCGUUUGAGCAAUGGAGGGACGCAGAAGGAUAGAAGAAGCGUGCGAUUGGUUGUGCACGUCCAAGCAAUUAGGCUGAUAAGUAGGCAAAUCCGCUUAUCGUGAAGGCUGAGUUGUGAUGGGGAAGCUCCUUAUGGAGCGAAGUCUUUGAUUCCCCGCUGCCAAGAAAAGCUUCUAGCGAGAUAAAAGGUGCCUGUACCGCAAACCGACACAGGUAGGCGAGGAGAGAAUCCUAAGGUGUGCGAGAGAACUCUGGUUAAGGAACUCGGCAAAAUGACCCCGUAACUUCGGGAGAAGGGGUGCUUUCUUAACGGAAAGCCGCAGUGAAUAGGCCCAAGCGACUGUUUAGCAAAAACACAGCUCUCUGCGAAGCCGUAAGGCGAAGUAUAGGGGGUGACACCUGCCCGGUGCUGGAAGGUUAAGGAGAGGGGUUAGCGUAAGCGAAGCUCUGAACUGAAGCCCCAGUAAACGGCGGCCGUAACUAUAACGGUCCUAAGGUAGCGAAAUUCCUUGUCGGGUAAGUUCCGACCCGCACGAAAGGUGUAACGAUUUGGGCACUGUCUCAACCAGAGACUCGGUGAAAUUAUAGUACCUGUGAAGAUGCAGGUUACCCGCGACAGGACGGAAAGACCCCGUGGAGCUUUACUGUAGCCUGAUAUUGAAUUUUGGUACAGUUUGUACAGGAUAGGCGGGAGCCAUUGAAACCGGAGCGCUAGCUUCGGUGGAGGCGCUGGUGGGAUACCGCCCUGACUGUAUUGAAAUUCUAACCUACGGGUCUUAUCGACCCGGGAGACAGUGUCAGGUGGGCAGUUUGACUGGGGCGGUCGCCUCCUAAAGUGUAACGGAGGCGCCCAAAGGUUCCCUCAGAAUGGUUGGAAAUCAUUCGUAGAGUGCAAAGGCAUAAGGGAGCUUGACUGCGAGACCUACAAGUCGAGCAGGGACGAAAGUCGGGCUUAGUGAUCCGGUGGUUCCGCAUGGAAGGGCCAUCGCUCAACGGAUAAAAGCUACCCCGGGGAUAACAGGCUUAUCUCCCCCAAGAGUCCACAUCGACGGGGAGGUUUGGCACCUCGAUGUCGGCUCAUCGCAUCCUGGGGCUGUAGUCGGUCCCAAGGGUUGGGCUGUUCGCCCAUUAAAGCGGUACGCGAGCUGGGUUCAGAACGUCGUGAGACAGUUCGGUCCCUAUCCGUCGUGGGCGUAGGAAAUUUGAGAGGAGCUGUCCUUAGUACGAGAGGACCGGGAUGGACGCACCGCUGGUGUACCAGUUGUUCUGCCAAGGGCAUAGCUGGGUAGCUAUGUGCGGAAGGGAUAAGUGCUGAAAGCAUCUAAGCAUGAAGCCCCCCUCAAGAUGAGAUUUCCCAUAGCGUAAGCUAGUAAGAUCCCUGAAAGAUGAUCAGGUUGAUAGGUUCGAGGUGGAAGCAUGGUGACAUGUGGAGCUGACGAAUACUAAUAGAUCGAGGACUUAACCAUAUAA
This 1658-nucleotide ribosomal RNA is filed under the name Bacillus luti. RNAcentral's name for it is "partial 23S ribosomal RNA". It matches the Rfam family "Bacterial large subunit ribosomal RNA", at positions 1265 to 2925 of the family's 2925-position model. Lineage: Bacteria; Bacillati; Bacillota; Bacilli; Caryophanales; Bacillaceae. The record is from RNAcentral.